UCGGGCACCAAGGAGAGCUGCCUGGAGACAGGCCCCGGAGAGGAGCUGGAAGCAGUGUCAGGCUCGCCUGCACCCCUGGAGGUCCCCUCCAUCCAGUCUCCUGCUGGAUCUCUUCUUACACUGCCUGCCACCCAUACCUUAGGACCCUCGACUUCUGUCCUGGCCCAGCACUGUCACAGGCCCACUGCCCUAACUGGUGCUGCCCCAGCCGCGGCUGUCCACCGUGAAUCGCAUGUAGCGUGCCACUCACUCUGGACUGCAUGGGGAGGAGGGAACAGGCGUAAGGGACCCCCACGACUGGGCCUGGUGGCCCUUGUCCUCCAGCCACACAGCCUAGCCGAUGGACGGUGGCCGGAGGGCGCCCUCUGCCACACUGCGGCCCUGGCCUAUUUAGGAAGCUGCUGGCCAGAGGCCAUGGAGCUCUAACAGGAACUCCCUCCUACCAUGUCAGGGCCAGGAUGGACAGUAGGCUGCACCUGCCCCUGGGACAGCUCACUGCCAGAGCUUGGAGGAGGCCAUCGAUCCACCCUGCUCUGAGGUUAUCUUCAGCACGCAACACCAAAGACUGGACUGACCCAGAAAACAUCCCCGUGGAGGUGUGCUGCUGAGACCGCGUGAGCCAGCCACUCCCCUGACAACCCGCAACAGGCGGAUGGACCCGUGUAAGGAUCCAAAGCCAAGCCGAAACCGAGUGCGGGCUUUCUCCAAGAGCAGACCCGGGCAGAAGACCAGAGGUGCCGGGGUCCCCGUUUCUAGAGUGGGAUGUGAUGCCGAGUGUGGAAGCCAGCAAGGACAGCCCUUCCAAUCAGAUGCAGUCUCCCUCGGGGCCAAGCCCCCAGCUCCUCAUCCUUGCUGCACGCUGGAGCUACAAGGAGUCUUAUUAAAAGCUCCAGACGGCACCUCAAACCACUAACUCGGAUCUGCGCAAAAGGCAGCCUGGUCUACAGAGCAAGUACCAGGACAGUCAGGGCUACUCAGAGAAACACUAUGUGAUAGUUUAAAUAGGUAUGCCCCCCCCCACAGAGUCAUAGGUUUAAAUGCUUGACCCACAGGGAAUGACUCUAUUAGGAGGUGUGGUCUUGUUGGAGUGGGUGUGGCCUUGUUGGAGGUCACUGUAGGAACAAGCUUUGAUGUCUUAUAUGCUCAUGCUACACAUCCUGUUGCCGUGGAUCAAGACCUAGAAUUCUCAGCUCCCGCUCCAGCACCGUGUCUGCCUGCUUCCCACCAUGAUGAUGAGCUAACCCUCCUAAACCAUGAGCCAGCCCCAAUUAAAUGUUUUUAUGACA
This is a long non-coding RNA of Mesocricetus auratus (golden hamster), 1286 nucleotides long. RefSeq lists it as uncharacterized. The transcript has 3 exons. NCBI's taxonomy places the organism in Eukaryota, Metazoa, Chordata, Mammalia, Rodentia, Cricetidae. The record is from RefSeq and is a predicted model, not a curated record.